This 720-nucleotide ribosomal RNA is filed under the name uncultured bacterium. Its description in RNAcentral is "bacterial SSU rRNA". It matches the Rfam family "Bacterial small subunit ribosomal RNA", at positions 96 to 853 of the family's 1533-position model. The record is from RNAcentral.
UGGCAGACGGGUGAGUAACGCGUAGAAAUCUACCCCUAGGAGGACCAUAGCUCAUCGAAAGAUGGGGUAAUAGUCCAUGGUCUCGCAAGAGUAAAGGCAAUUAACUUUGCGCCCAGGGAGGAGUCUGCGUCCUAUCAGCUUGUUGGUGGGGUAAUGGCCUACCAAGGCAAUGACGGGUAGCUGGACUGAGAGGUCGAUCAGCCACAACUGCACUUAGACACGGGCAGUACACCUACGGGUGGCAGCAACCAGGAAUAUUGGGCAAUGGGCGAAAGCCUGACCCAGCGACGCCGCGUGGAGGAUGACAGCCCUCGGGUUGUAAACUCCUUUUAAUAAGCCUUUCACGGCUUAUAGAAUAAGCCCCUACUAACUACGUGCCAGAAGUCUCGGUAAUACGUAGGGGGCAAGCGUUAUCCGGAUUUAUUGGGCGUAAAGUGUGCGUAGGCGCCUCGACAAGUCGUAUCUUAAAGACCAAGGCUUAACCCUUGGGAGUGGAUACGAUACUGCGCGAGGUUGAGGAUUGUUAGGGAUGUCGGAACAGCUAGUGUAGCAGUGAAAUGCGUUGAUAUUAGCUGGAACACCAAAGGCGAAGGCAGACAUCUGGAAUUUUCCUGACGCUGAGGCACGAAAGCUAGGGUAGCGAAACAGAUUAGAUACCUGUGUAGUCCUAGCCGUAAACGAUGUCCGCUAGCUCUGUGUAUUUAUAUACGGGGUGUAAGC